Molecule: ribosomal RNA, 492 nt
Filed under: uncultured bacterium
Lineage: Bacteria
Description: partial 16S ribosomal RNA
Rfam family: Bacterial small subunit ribosomal RNA
Source: RNAcentral
AGUGAACGCUGGCGGUAGGCCUAACACAUGCAAGUCGAACGGCAGCACAGUAAGAGCUUGCUCUUACGGGUGGCGAGUGGCGGACGGGUGAGGAAUACAUCGGAAUCUACUUUUUCGUGGGGGAUAACGUAGGGAAACUUACGCUAAUACCGCAUACGCCCUACGGGUGAAAGCAGGGGAUCUUCGGACCUUGCGCGAUUGAAUGAGCCGAUGUCGGAUUAGUUAGUUGGCGGGGUAAAGGCCCACCAAGGCGAGGAUCCGUAGCUGGUCUGAGAGGAUGAUCAGCCACACUGGAACUGAGACACGGUCCAGACUCCUACGGGAGGCAGCAGUGGGGAAUAUUGGACAAUGGGCGCAAGCCUGAUCCAGCCAUACCGCGUGGGUGAAGAAGGCCUUCGGGUUGUAAAGCCCUUUUGUUGGGAAAGAAAAGCAGCAGGUUAAUACCCCGCUGUUCUGACGGUACCCAAAGAAUAAGCACCGGCUAACUUCGUG